UUUCAUGAAAUAUCUGCUGAAAGUCAAGAACUCCAUGUAUAUACCACAAAAUUAAGAGAAGUAAGGAAAAGGGUAAGUUGAAGGGGGGUGAAAAUGUUGAAAUGAGUGACACUGAUCAAGAGACAGUGUGUUCAUAAACUGCUUUGUUAAAUGGUGCUUCUUUUGCUCCACUACUUAAAGAAGUAUCUGCCUAAAAAGCUUCGAGCAAUCAUCAGUGGUCAACCACCUCACACAGUGUUUCCAUUUAUGCUGCUGCGUCAUUUGUCCUUCAUAGUAUUUACCGUGACCUGAUCUGACAUUUAUUACUAUAUAGUUUAUUGACGGUCUCCACAAAUAGAACCUGAGCUUCCAUAGAACAAAAUACUUUGUGUUCUCUUCACUUCCAUGUCCUCCCUAUCUGAAACACAUGCUUCUCAUUACCCAAAGAACAUGCAGAAUGAACAGAGUUUGGAUGGGAAUGCCUUCAAGGGAUCCUACUACUCACUUCAGCUGCCUUGUGGAGUAUUUUGGAGCCCGGUCCUUACACUAAAGAACUAUGAGGCAGGUACCAGGCUUCUGCGAGGAUGCUCCACCUCCCAGACCCAGCUCUCUCGGGCAGCACUGUGGUCCGAUCCCUCACAUUGUAGCCCUCCAGUGUUCAUUUUCUAACUCUAAUCCAGCAGAAAAGAGAACCAAGUUCUGAAAUGUUCUGAGGGUCCAGGAGGACCACACACAAGAAGUUCAACUCAGAUCUCUGCACACAUGGUUCAGGUCUAGUUUGACCAGCCACACGGAUACAAAGCCCCACACGGCUCCUAGAUCAACAGAAGACCGAGAGCAAAGCAUGCAUAUACAAAGAAACUGCUGUCAGGACAAAUCUUCCAGCUGUACCUCAUCCCAACCACAAGUAUCUCAUCAAAGAAA
Molecule: long non-coding RNA, 903 nt
Organism: Perognathus longimembris pacificus (Pacific pocket mouse)
Lineage: Eukaryota; Metazoa; Chordata; Mammalia; Rodentia; Heteromyidae
Exons: 4
Source: RefSeq, a predicted model, not a curated record